CACAACUGUAUGAAGCCCUUUUUCUUUUGCACUUCCAACUGAUAGGGUGGAGCUAAUGUGAGAGGAGCUGGUCCUUGUGAUAAUCUCUGGUCACGGCUGCAGAAAAGGGCUUAACGGAAUCUACCGAGUGCCUGCUGGUAGCUGGUGCAAACUUACUUGUUUUUGACAUGCCAAACAUGUUGCCUUCUCAGUCGGCUGGAGCUUCAUGUGGGUUAUUCUAUUUGGACUCCUAUUUGCCGUGGUCGGAUCAUAUGCAGUGUACAAAUACAGUCUACAUUCUACAGCGAGAUCAAGCAAAACUGCAACAGUUCUAAAGGCUGUCGAAGAUCACAAGGGCAGCUCGCUAUUGUACUGGACUUCGGUCCAUAAGGGCAACUUGCUGUAGAUUUAUGCUAUACAUGUCACAGAACAGGGAUCAAUAUGAGGUGUCAUUUGACUGAACUUCAGUCAGUACAUGUUACAGAACUUCAGUCAAUAUGGGGCGUCAUUGGAUUGAACCCCAGAAUUGUUUGACCUCUACACAACGACAUUACAAAGAGAAUCCGUGUACAGCAUACCUGGGGCGUGCACUCCUAUCGAUUUGUUUAACCCCAGAUUUGUUUGAGCUCUACAGAUUAUUGA
Molecule: long non-coding RNA, 621 nt
Organism: Triticum dicoccoides
Lineage: Eukaryota; Viridiplantae; Streptophyta; Magnoliopsida; Poales; Poaceae
Exons: 3
Source: RefSeq, a predicted model, not a curated record